RNAcentral lists this ribosomal RNA (443 nucleotides) under uncultured bacterium. RNAcentral describes it as "bacterial SSU rRNA". It matches the Rfam family "Bacterial small subunit ribosomal RNA", at positions 59 to 500 of the family's 1533-position model. The record is from RNAcentral.
AAGUCGAACGGUAACAGGUCUUCGGAUGCUGACGAGUGGCGAACGGGUGAGUAAUACAUCGGAACGUGCCCGAGAGUGGGGGAUAACGAAGCGAAAGCUUUGCUAAUACCGCAUACGAUCUCAGGAUGAAAGCAGGGGACCGCAAGGCCUUGCGCUCACGGAGCGGCCGAUGGCAGAUUAGGUAGUUGGUGGGAUAAAAGCUUACCAAGCCGACGAUCUGUAGCUGGUCUGAGAGGACGACCAGCCACACUGGGACUGAGACACGGCCCAGACUCCUACGGGAGGCAGCAGUGGGGAAUUUUGGACAAUGGGCGCAAGCCUGAUCCAGCCAUGCCGCGUGCAGGAUGAAGGCCUUCGGGUUGUAAACUGCUUUUGUACGGAACGAAAAGACUCUGGUUAAUACCUGGGGUCCAUGACGGUACCGUAAGAUAAGCACCGGCUAA